UCGCCUCACCGCGUGUACUUGUCCGGCCGGGCCUUUCCUUCUGGAGAACCUCAUGCCCUUCACUGGGUGUGUUGGGGAACCAGGACUUUUACUUUGAAAAAAUUAGAGUGUUCAAAGCAGGCCUUUGCUCGAAUACGUUAGCAUGGAAUAAUAGAAUAGGACGUGCGGUCCUAUUUUGUUGGUUUCUAGGACCGCCGUAAUGAUUAAUAGGGACAGUCGGGGGCAUCAGUAUUCAAUUGUCAGAGGUGAAAUUCUUGGAUUUAUUGAAGACUAACUACUGCGAAAGCAUUUGCCAAGGAUGUUUUCAUUAAUCAGUGAACGAAAGUUAGGGGAUCGAAGACGAUCAGAUACCGUCGUAGUCUUAACCGUAAACUAUGCCGACUAGGGAUCGGGCGAUGUUCUUUUUCUGACUCGCUCGGCACCUUACGAGAAAUCAAAGUUUUUGGGUUCUGGGGGGAGUAUGGUCGCAAGGCUGAAACUUAAAGAAAUUGACGGAAGGGCACCACCAGGCGU
Molecule: ribosomal RNA, 513 nt
Filed under: Didymella exigua
Lineage: Eukaryota; Fungi; Ascomycota; Dothideomycetes; Pleosporales; Didymellaceae
Description: SSU rRNA
Rfam family: Eukaryotic small subunit ribosomal RNA
Source: RNAcentral